RNAcentral lists this unclassified non-coding RNA (1047 nucleotides) under Hevea brasiliensis (rubber tree). Lineage: Eukaryota; Viridiplantae; Streptophyta; Magnoliopsida; Malpighiales; Euphorbiaceae. The record is from RNAcentral.
AUCUCUCAAAUUCGUCUGAAAUUGUAUUGUUAUUUUCCUUGGAUUGUUUCCACUUUCCACAACACUCUUGCCAACUUUCUAUAAUAUGAACAAAAUUCUCUAACGUUCGUAACCUGAAAACGACGACGGACCUUUUUUCAUUCUCCGCCAUAUGCAUUAUGUACACGCAAAGUUUGGAAAAGAGAGGAAGAUCCUAUCCUAUGCUAUGCAUCGCAUUGAGUACAUGGAAACUGGAUUGUCCGUAUGGAUAACUCUUGGGUGAUCGCUCUCCAACCCAUAAUCCAUCAUCGGACGGUUCUCCAUCUCUUCAUCAUGAUCAUAAGCAAACUCUGGUAUCUCAAUCUCGUUCCUCCUCACGUGGUCCCACAGAAACUCCAAUCUAUUCAUGUAUUUCAGCUUCCAAUAUAAGCCUCCACUGAAAAGAAGACGACCAAAGGUUGCAAGAAAGAGUCUGGCUUGUAAACCAGGGUGCACAAAAUAAACAACCUGGAGAAGAUUCUUGACGUUGAUUGGAAUUGCUUCAUAAAUUGAUCGUAAAGCUGAAAUCCCAGGGAAAUUUUCGCUCCUUUGAACAUCAGUAUGCACAUAUACAAUUGAGAAAGGCCCUUCCUCCAAUUUUGGGAAGAUUUUCUCCCCCAAGUAUUUGUUCAAUACCUCACUACUCACCAGUCGAGCAGGGAAGAGCUUGCCGAUGAUGAGAAGAACCUUUUGGCCACGCUUAUCUCGGCCUUGGAUCUUGAAAACAUCGAGUUUCUGGAUAAGAUUUUCUUGGUCAGAUGGCGAAAGGAAAGUAGUAGAAAAAGAAGCAGAGGAGCUCAUGAUUGUUAUUUCAGUUGGGUGGUUAAGAGGGAAUCUGUAAUAAAGAAAGGAGUUGGAAAGGCAAGAGACAACGGGCAGAGGAUGGUGGGUUUUAUAGGGAAAAAUUCAGGAUAGGGAUUUAUCUGUAUAUCGGCACUCUGAGCCGCUGGAUGGUGUCAUAUGGUGCAGGAAGAUCAGAAAAAUCAGGUAUAUGCUCAAGCAUCUUCUGUUUUUUGGAUUGACCUGAAC